UACGUAGGGGGCAAGCGUUAUCCGGAAUCAUUGGGCGUAAGGGGUGCGUAGGCGGCCCUAUGGGUCAGAGGUUAAAGGCUACGGCUCAACCGUGGUAAGCCUUUGAAACUGUAGGGCUUGAGUGCAGGAGAGGAGAGUGGAAUUCCUAGUGUAGCGGUGAAAUGCGUAGAUAUUAGGAGGAACACCAGUGGCGAAGGCGACUCUCUGGACUGCAACUGACGCUGAGGCACGAAAGCGUGGGUAGCGAACAGGAUUAGAUACCCCU
This 265-nucleotide ribosomal RNA is filed under the name uncultured bacterium. RNAcentral's name for it is "partial 16S ribosomal RNA". It matches the Rfam family "Bacterial small subunit ribosomal RNA", at positions 524 to 788 of the family's 1533-position model. The record is from RNAcentral.